Molecule: small nuclear RNA, 107 nt
Organism: Hyaena hyaena (striped hyena)
Lineage: Eukaryota; Metazoa; Chordata; Mammalia; Carnivora; Hyaenidae
Source: RefSeq, a predicted model, not a curated record
GUGCUCACUUCUGCAGCAAAUAUACUAAAACUGGAAUGAUAAAGAUUAGAUUAGCAUAGCCCCUGCCUAAGAAUGACACUUCAAUUCCUGGAUCAUUCCAUAUUAAA